This 779-nucleotide ribosomal RNA is filed under the name uncultured Alphaproteobacteria bacterium. RNAcentral's name for it is "bacterial SSU rRNA". It matches the Rfam family "Bacterial small subunit ribosomal RNA", at positions 36 to 864 of the family's 1533-position model. Lineage: Bacteria; Pseudomonadati; Pseudomonadota; Alphaproteobacteria. The record is from RNAcentral.
CUGGCGGCCGCCUAACACAUGCAAGUCGAACGCAGUAGCAAUACUGAGUGGCAGACGGGUGAGUAUAAUGUGGGAAUCUGCCUUUUGGUUCGGAAUAACACGGGGAAACCUGUGCUAAUACCGGAUAAGCCUUAACAGGGAAAGUUUUAAUGCCAAAAGAUGAGCCCGCACUUGAUUAGCUAGUUGGUAAGGUAAUGGCUUACCAAGGCAACGAUCAAUAGCUGUUCUUAGAGGAAGACCAGCCACAUUGGGACUGAGACACGGCCCAAACUCCUACGGGAGGCAGCAGUGGGGAAUCUUGCACAAUGGGGGCAACCCUGAUGCAGCGAUGCCGCGUGAGUGAAGAAGGCCUUUGGGUUGUAAAACUCUUUCGUCGGGGAAGAAAAUGACUGUACCCGAAUAAGAAGGUCCGGCUAACUUCGUGCCAGCAGCCGCGGUAAUACGAAGGGACCUAGCGUAGUUCGGAAUUACUGGGCUUAAAGAGUUCGUAGGUGGUUAAAAAAGUUGAUGGUGAAAUCCCAAGGCUCAACCUUGGAACUGCCAUCAAAACUUUUUAGCUAGAGUAUGAUAGAGGAAAGUGGAAUUUCUAGUGUAGAGGUGAAAUUCGUAGAUAUUAGAAAGAACAUCAAAUGCGAAGGCAACUUUCUGGAUCAUUACUGACACUGAGGAACGAAAGCAUGGGUAGCGAAGAGGAUUAGAUACCCUCGUAGUCCAUGCCGUAAACGAUGUGUGCUAGACGUUGGAAACUUAGUUUUCAGUGUCGCAGAGAAAUCAUUAAG